AAUAAGUGUAGCUAUGGGUUUCAGUGACCAACUUUGACCAUCCGUUUUAUUUAAAAUAUUUUUAUGAUUAGCAUUUUUAUUGUUAUUAGAUGAUAAAAUAUGAUUAAUGCUUUAUACAUGACUUAACUUUUAAAAUUUUUUCAUAAUUUUUUUAAAUAAGAUGGACGGUCAAACGUUGGGCACGGAAACUUAUGGUUGUACUUAUA
Oryza meridionalis is the source of this 206-nucleotide non-coding RNA. Lineage: Eukaryota; Viridiplantae; Streptophyta; Magnoliopsida; Poales; Poaceae. The record is from Rfam.